Molecule: ribosomal RNA, 99 nt
Filed under: uncultured bacterium
Lineage: Bacteria
Description: partial 16S ribosomal RNA
Rfam family: Bacterial small subunit ribosomal RNA
Source: RNAcentral
UACACACCGCCCGUCACGCCAUGGAAGUGGGUUCCACCAGAAGUAGUUAGCCUAACCGCAAGGAGGGCGACUACCACGGUGAGAUUCAUGACUGGGGUG